This 676-nucleotide ribosomal RNA is filed under the name uncultured bacterium. RNAcentral describes it as "bacterial SSU rRNA". It matches the Rfam family "Bacterial small subunit ribosomal RNA", at positions 8 to 694 of the family's 1533-position model. The record is from RNAcentral.
AGAGUUUGAUCCUGGCUCAGGACGAACGCUGGCGGUGUGCUUCACACAUGCAAGUCGAGCGAAUGAAGUAGGUAGCUUGCUACUUAUGGAUUUAGCGGCGGACGGGUGAGUAAUAUAUAGGAAUCUGCCUUAGAGCGGGGAACAACAGACCGAAAGGUUUGCUAAUGCCUCAUAGGUAUGCAGUCUUCGGAUUGUAUAUUAAAGGAGUAAUCCACUCUAAGAUGAGCCUGUAUCCGAUUAGCUAGUUGGCGGGGUAAAGGCCCACCAAGGCUACGAUCGGUAGUUGGUCUGAGAGGAUGAUCAGCCACAAUGGGACUGAGACACGGCCCAUACUCCUACGGGAGGCAGCAGUGGGGAAUUUUACACAAUGGGGGAAACCCUGAUGUAGCGACACCGCGUGAACGAAGAAGCCUUUUGGGGUGUAAAGUUCUGUCGGCUGGAACGAAAAAAAUGACGGUACCAGCAAAGGAAGCAUCGGCUAACUACGUGCCAGCAGCCGCGGUAAGACGUAGGAUGCAAGCGUUGUCCGGAUUUAUUGGGCGUAAAGAGUUCGUAGGCGGUUAUUUAAGUCUGAUGUUAAAUACUGUGGCCCAACCACAGAACUGCAUUGGAUACUGGAUGACUUGAGUGCGGUAGAGGCAAGUGGAAUUCCCAGUGUAGCGGUGAAAUGCGUAGA